CUGUUUCUGUGAUGAAUUAUCAUUACCUACAUUGUUUGAGGGUUACUCAUUGAUGAAGACAUGAUGUUCUGAGAAACAA
This is a non-coding RNA of Nematostella vectensis (starlet sea anemone), 79 nucleotides long. The record is from Rfam. Lineage: Eukaryota; Metazoa; Cnidaria; Anthozoa; Actiniaria; Edwardsiidae.